Ribosomal RNA from Danio rerio (zebrafish), 117 nucleotides. The record is from Ensembl. Lineage: Eukaryota; Metazoa; Chordata; Actinopteri; Cypriniformes; Danionidae.
UGCCACAGCCAUAUCACCCUGCAGCCCAAGAGUGGUUACUCACUGAAGGUAAGCAGGGCUGAGUCUGGUCAGUAUCUGUAUGGGAGACCACAUAGAAAAACAAGUUUGCUGUUAGAA